UCUUAUAUAUAUAAAGGAGUCCGGCUACUAUACUUUUAUGAGUAUUGGCUUCCUUAUACUCGUAAGUUUUCGGCCCUUAGAUUUAUUUCAUGAUCAUUUCCACCCGUUAGACCAUACUAUUUAACCAACUACCCACUCAAUCCUAGGGAACCACUAUCAUUCUAAGUAGGGACCGUCAUCAUCUUAACCACACAUCCCAUCAAUGAACGGUUAAAAAAUUUAUAAGUAUUUGAGGUUUUAUACUCAUAAGAGUAUAGUAGCCACAGCCUAUAUAAAGCUAGGCUAUUAAUUAUACUUUUUAAAAUAAGAAAGCAUCCAUACUUUUAUGUUAUUUUUUAUGUGGGAUAUUCGAAUUAGCGAUCAGCACCGUUAGACAUGUUUACGAUGUUGGAACUAUUUAGAAACCAAAUUUUAUUUAUUUUUAACUUUAUUUGUCUAGUGAAAAGUCUUGCUAGGGUGCUUCUAAUAGUACCAAGUAUUUGUUGCUAACAAAAUUUUCACUGUUAAUUUUACCUCUUUAACUAUUUCAAUCCGAUAGAUUAUACUAUAUUCAACAAACUACCCACUUAAUUUUAGGAGAUCACUAUCAUCCUAACCGCACAUUCUUUCAUCCAAGGACUCAAAAUUUAAUAGCACGAAUGACUUAGUGGUAUUAGAAGCAUUCCAACCUAAUUAUAUAUAUUCAAGGGCUGAAAAAAAUUAAAAGCACCA
Molecule: long non-coding RNA, 711 nt
Filed under: Ananas comosus (pineapple)
Lineage: Eukaryota; Viridiplantae; Streptophyta; Magnoliopsida; Poales; Bromeliaceae
Description: long non-coding RNA (ACOM_LNC036653)
Source: RNAcentral